This is a long non-coding RNA of Amborella trichopoda, 277 nucleotides long. RefSeq lists it as uncharacterized. Lineage: Eukaryota; Viridiplantae; Streptophyta; Magnoliopsida; Amborellales; Amborellaceae. The record is from RefSeq and is a predicted model, not a curated record.
GAACAUGAUACCGUCUCUUCUCCAAUUUAACUUGAGAAAGUAAAUGAGAAAGUGUGAUUCAAGCAUAUCCGAAACAGAAGGAGCAGGCUACAAUCAUUCUUAGUGAAGCAUCAACAGGUUAUGUUGAACAAGUUCUCCAACUUGCACCAGAUGCAUCGAUGCAUUUGGAACAUAAAAGACUGCAUAUCUGGUAAGUGAGAGAUAUGAAGAAAUGAUGACAUGUAAGAUACCAAUAGUUGAUAUCUGAUCAGGGUUACUGUUAAAGGUGAUAACUGUC